GAUGAACGCUGGCGGCGUGCCUAACACAUGCAAGUCGAACGGAAAGACGAGGAGCUUGGUCGUCGGACGUUAGCGGCGGACGGGAGAGAAACGCGUGUAAAACCUACUUAUAAGUCUGGGAUCACAAGGGGAAACCGGAGCGAAUACGAGAUAAGAUAUUGAACCGCAGGGGGCAAUGGAGAAAGACGGCGGUGCGGGCACUUAUAGAUGGAUCCGCGCCGGAUUAGCUAGUUGGUAAGGUAACGGCUUACCAAGGGGACGAUGCGUAGCCGAUCUGAGAUGGUGAUCAGCCACACUGGGACUGAGACACGGCCCAGACUCCUACGGGAGGCAGCAGUGGGGAAUCUUGCGCAAUGGGCGAAAGCUUGACCCAGCCACGCCGCGUGCGUGAUGAAGGUCUUCGGGUCGUAAACCUCUGUUAUUAGGAAAGAACAGAUUUGUGAUUAACCCUGCGCGUCAUGACGGUACCUUAUCAAAAAGCCCCGGCUAACUACGUG
RNAcentral lists this ribosomal RNA (497 nucleotides) under uncultured bacterium. RNAcentral describes it as "partial 16S ribosomal RNA". It matches the Rfam family "Bacterial small subunit ribosomal RNA", at positions 28 to 507 of the family's 1533-position model. The record is from RNAcentral.